GGGAAGGUGGCUCAGUGGUAGAGUGUUUGCCUUGCAUGCAUGAGGCCCUAGGUUCGAUUCCUCAGUACCA
This 70-nucleotide transfer RNA is filed under the name Dipodomys ordii (Ord's kangaroo rat). It matches the Rfam family "tRNA". Rfam says of the family: Transfer RNA (tRNA) molecules are approximately 80 nucleotides in length. Their secondary structure includes four short double-helical elements and three loops (D, anti-codon, and T loops). The record is from Rfam by way of RNAcentral. Lineage: Eukaryota; Metazoa; Chordata; Mammalia; Rodentia; Heteromyidae.